Molecule: non-coding RNA, 75 nt
Organism: Desmophyllum pertusum
Lineage: Eukaryota; Metazoa; Cnidaria; Anthozoa; Scleractinia; Caryophylliidae
Source: the annotation of a GenBank genome assembly
GUCAUCAUUAAGCUCGGUGGUAGAGCGUUUGCACUGGAAUCGCAAAGGUCAUGGGUUUGAAUCCCAUUGGAGCCU